Molecule: ribosomal RNA, 726 nt
Filed under: Triticum aestivum (bread wheat)
Lineage: Eukaryota; Viridiplantae; Streptophyta; Magnoliopsida; Poales; Poaceae
Description: partial small subunit ribosomal RNA
Source: RNAcentral
AUGGCAGCAUCAGCCAGCGAGCAUAGUGCCGUCGACAUAGCACCUACGACGAUUGCUGUUGUCAAGCCGCCGGCUGAUGGCAAGACCUGUGUGAGCCAGAAGGUGCUGUCGGUGUCGGCGAACCUGGUGCAGCUGCUGCCGACGGGGUCGGUGAUGGCGUACCAGAUAUUGGCGCCGUCCUUCAGCAACCAGGGCAAGUGCUACCCCUCCAACUGGUGGAUCACGCUCGGGCUCGUCAUCGUGCUAGCCGCCUCCUGCGUCUUCUUCGCCUUCACCGACUCCAUCAUCCACAAAGGUAAGGUGUAUUACGGAAUAGCCACGAUCGAUGGCAUGAACAUAUUCAACAUAUCGAGGGACGAUCAGAAGAAGGAGUUCGAAGGCCUGGAGUCCGAGCUCAAGAAGCGGCAUAUCAAGAAGCAGGACUUUUCUCACGCCUUCCUCACCGUUGUCGUCUUCCUCACCAUGGCCUUCAGCGACGUCGGGCUCCAGAACUGCUUCUUCCCCAAGGCCGGCACCGACGCCCAGCAGCUGCUCAAGAACCUGCCGCUGGGAAUGGCCGUCUUCUCCAGUCUAGUCUUCACCAUCUUCCCAAGCAAAAGGAACUUCAUCGGAUGCAACGACCCCAACGGUGACGGUUAUGACGACAUCGCCAAAGUCGUCGCUCAAUCACCAUCAACUGUCACUAUUACAAAUACAACCCCACCAUGCCCUAGAUGUGCUCGCUAA